This 479-nucleotide ribosomal RNA is filed under the name uncultured bacterium. Its description in RNAcentral is "partial 16S ribosomal RNA". It matches the Rfam family "Bacterial small subunit ribosomal RNA", at positions 28 to 507 of the family's 1533-position model. The record is from RNAcentral.
GAUGAACGCUAGCGGGAGGCCUAACACAUGCAAGCCGAGCGGUAGAGUUUCUUCGGAAACUUGAGAGCGGCGCACGGGUGCGUAACACGUGUGCAACCUACCUUUAUCUGGGGGAUAGCCUUUCGAAAGGAAGAUUAAUACCCCAUAAUAUAAUGAUUGGCAUCAAUUAUUAUUGAAAACUCCGGUGGAUAGAGAUGGGCACGCCCAAGAUUAGAUAGUUGGUGAGGUAACGGCUCACCAAGUCAAUGAUCUUUAGGGGUCCUGAGAGGGAGAUCCCCCACACUGGUACUGAGACACGGACCAGACUCCUACGGGAGGCAGCAGUGAGGAAUAUUGGACAAUGGGUGAGAGCCUGAUCCAGCCAUCCCGCGUGAAGGAUGACGGUCCUAUGGAUUGUAAACUUCUUUUGUACAGGGAUAAACCUACCCUCGUGAGGGUAGCUGAAGGUACUGUACGAAUAAGCACCGGCUAACUCCGUG